Dermacentor albipictus is the source of this 2338-nucleotide long non-coding RNA. RefSeq lists it as uncharacterized. The record is from RefSeq and is a predicted model, not a curated record. NCBI's taxonomy places the organism in Eukaryota, Metazoa, Arthropoda, Arachnida, Ixodida, Ixodidae.
GCAAGACCUCGUCAGUGCUCAGAAUGCAUGCUAGUACCCGUGUCAUCAGUGUUUUCCUCUGCAUUGUGGGUGGACAAUGCCAUACUGAAUCAAACUACGUGAGCACUUUGCAUUGUCAGCGACUGGUGCCGCCCGCUAUUACUUCCGCUUUGACUCCCUGCCGAUUUCCAUGUAUAAUAACAUACCUAAGGCCACCUUUCUAUAUUAUUAUGCAGUCUGAGCCUGAUGGAACACCGUGCAGGCCUACGGGCCAUUGCAGUGAAGGCGCCUGCCUUGAUAUUGGCAAUUUCGCUGCCCCAGGAAACUUCGAAUGGGGACCCAGGUCCGGCAUGACAAGCUACCACAACAGCAAUACCAACGGUGACACUCAUGCCGGUAGCACUGCAGUCUCAACUGACCGCGACUAUAUGAGAUACGGCUUUCUCAGUGAAGAAAAUCUCAAUUGGAAUACCAACAAUGUUGUGAGCAAAAAUGGAAAGGAAAGCGGCGGCCCUUCAUUUCCCCGCGAAGGGAGCGCGCGAAGUGCACUUCAGCAUCUGUUACGUAAGAAACGUGCUGCGUCUCUAUCCGAAGAAGGGCGUGGCGGAAUCCAACUGACUGAAAGUGGAAAAUAUAUUUCCCUGCCCAGAGUCAGAAGGAGCCGUAAAAAGCGCAGAAUAACCUUAUUCGCUGGUCAUCCUCAAAGCAAUGAUAAUGGGAAUGCUCAUUCGCUUGCAGUUCACCCGCUACGCAAAAGAAGUAUAGGUAAUACUCUAGUGACAGGAGUGGCCAUGGGUGCGGGGUCCGCCAUCGGAAGUACACUCAUUCACGAAGCUAUUAGAAAAAUAAAGAAAUUCAAAAGCAAACGCAAACGCAAACGCGAGCGCAAGGGUUCCAGCGGAGAUCAAGGUGCAGAUGCCACAUUCUCUCAACCUUAUACAGGCCACGUGGGGCGUGACGCAGUUGGCACUCAAGGCACCUAACACAGCCCACAUAGGAUCCGGCACGCCCGAGGCACUGUCGUUCUAGCAAGCGUGAAGAGGACAUCCGCGGGGGCUCAGGCCGGCACGACCACGCAACCCGACGGCACUGGAACGGACACGAACAAUCCUGCUGGCAUCGACGAGGCUUGAAACACCAAUAUAAGUAAAACCGACUCAAGCGAGGGCAUCAGAACAAACAAGACCGAGGAAAAUCAAUAAUACCAGAACCGACGCGACAGAGAUCACGAACAGUACAAAACCAGCGUUACCAUGAAUGGCCAGGUUACAGGAACGAAUGCCACCGAGAAAACCGAUACUACCACAAUAGACAAAGCCGCAGCUGCUGGAUCCGGCACCACCGAGAAAAACACCUACAACAGUGACAGUUCUCCUUCUACACUCCUGACACUAUUGGUGGACACAGAAGCACGGGGUAGAUCAAAAGUAUGGGUGAUAAUUGACGUAACUGGCAUUCACACCGACGUUGACAAAGAGCAUGAAGGGACCAGAACUUAAAAGAUCAAAUAACUAGUACACUGGAAGCACAUCUUCAACUAACGAACAUAAAGGGCUUUGGCAGAGGGUUCAUCUCACAAGCAGCCUAACUCUGAGUUGCGAGAGUUUCCCUAUCGCCACUGGUAAAUUGGUGAUGGAGUAUAGAGGGGCAAAAGGCAAACUCUUUAAUCCAUUUCAAUCAGUAGGGGCGUCGUUCGUUUAGUAAUGGAUAAAAAGUAGGCGCGUCAUCAUACGGUAAUGCUUCAUCGUGGCGAUUACGAUAUUUUAGCUAUGCUAGUUCAACCAGACCCUCCCCUUUCGUGGUGACUGCGGAAUUCUCUGUGAGAGGCAUGUAGUUGAGCACUGGGAAAUAAUUUUCUCCAAGUAGAUCUCCAUAGGCCUAAGCCUUAGUCUUGGCGCACGGACAUUUGGCAUUCCCGCUGAAUAUUAUUUCUUCCAAAUUUUUAUUUGCAGGACAGCAAAAUUAGUGACUUAUAUAAGCCAGUGAAAGCAUCCAAUAAGCAAAACGGCUUUCACGCCAAAACACUACCGACGGGUAUUUCGGGAGUCGCAUUAGCGAAACAAUUGCUGGUAUCUGUGCCCGCUUGAAGUAAUGAGCGGCUUCAAUCGGACCGUUUCUAAAUGGAAUCGUAGAGCUUGAAUUUAAUUCAAAAUAAUUGAACGUUGAUCUGUGAUUUUAUGAUGGCAACUUACCUGUACGCUAUAGGAUGUAUUUUGCAGGUUGCCGCUGCCUGUUAAAAUAUCGUAGCUCGACUUAGGGGUGUUGCGUCAUAAGCCGAAAGUGAUAUCUGAAUUGCCGGAAAAAAGUUUGUUUAAUGAAGAAGCACGAUUAUUUGCCGACAGUUAGCUUUAAUAAAAUG